AUUGAACGCUGGCGGCAUGCCUUACACAUGCAAGUCGAACGGUAACGCGGGGCAACCUGGCGACGAGUGGCGAACGGGUGAGUAAUGCAUCGGAACGUGCCCAGUAGUGGGGGAUAGCCCGGCGAAAGCCGGAUUAAUACCGCAUACGACCUACGGGUGAAAGCAGGGGAUCGCAAGACCUUGCGCUAUUGGAGCGGCCGAUGUCAGAUUAGGUUGUUGGUGGGGUAAAAGCCUACCAAGCCGACGAUCUGUAGCUGGUCUGAGAGGACGACCAGCCACACUGGGACUGAGACACGGCCCAGACUCCUACGGGAGGCAGCAGUGGGAAUUUUGGACAAAUGGGCGCAAGCCUGAUCCAGCCAUGCCGCGUGCGGGAA
Molecule: ribosomal RNA, 377 nt
Filed under: uncultured bacterium
Lineage: Bacteria
Description: bacterial SSU rRNA
Rfam family: Bacterial small subunit ribosomal RNA
Source: RNAcentral